Long non-coding RNA from Cydia fagiglandana, 248 nucleotides. RefSeq lists it as uncharacterized. Lineage: Eukaryota; Metazoa; Arthropoda; Insecta; Lepidoptera; Tortricidae. The record is from RefSeq and is a predicted model, not a curated record. The transcript has 2 exons.
UUUAAAUUAGAACAAAGGAGAAUGGGCAAUUUGUCCCAUGGAUGUAUACUAUUGAGACAUACCUCGUUUGAAAGGGCUUACACGUAGCAUUAAUUUGUUGUAUGACACCAACUUUGGAUAACGUGCAGGGACUGAGCUAUUUAAAAAAAAUUGGUGUCAUACAAUAAAUUAAUGCUAUGUGUAAGCCCUUUCAAACGAGAUAUGUCUCAAUAGUAUACAUCCAUGGGACAAAUUGCCCAUUCUCCUUU